Molecule: long non-coding RNA, 1581 nt
Organism: Mobula hypostoma (lesser devil ray)
Lineage: Eukaryota; Metazoa; Chordata; Chondrichthyes; Myliobatiformes; Myliobatidae
Exons: 4
Source: RefSeq, a predicted model, not a curated record
CUCUAAACUUGAAACAAAACCGGCGUACUUUGCCGAGUAUUCCCUUCUUUGCAAGUCAUUCCAUUAACUUUGAAAGCCUGUUUACAAUGAGUCUUCAGUUCACCGUCUGGAUAGUAUCCGAAAUCAAAAGUAAACAGUAUCUGGCUGUGGCUCAGUGGGUAGCACCCACGAUUCUGAGCCAAAAGGUCGUGAGUUCAAAUUUCAUUUCGUAUUCGUGAUCCGGGCCCAUUCUGUGAGUGCAGUAUUGAAGCUUUGCAGCGGUUGUUGAAAUGUUAAGUUGAAACUCUGCCGGCCUUCUCCAAGAGGACCCUAACGCUAUUUGAAGAGCAAUGGAGUUGAGAUCCCCGUCUCCAAGGCAAUAGAUACGCUCGGUGGCCACUUUAUUAGAGAAAUCUGGUCUAACUCAAUUUUGCCCUUGGAUUUGAGUUUGGAGAACCAUUCUCCUUAUGAGGCAAUCCACUUUAAACUCGAUGGACACAAAGAAACUUUGCCAAGGAUGGUCCCACGCCCACCUAUGAAAGGAAAAGGGUUGACCAUGGGGCUAGCAACCACAACCAUAUAAAAACCCAGAGCUACAAUAAUGCCAACAGAAGCUCCAAGGACCUCAUCCUUAGGAGAAGAAGGAUACAUAUGAAGGUGGGCUACAUCUGGGGAUAACUUGAAAGACUGGUCCCAGGGCAGAAGACUCUGGUUACACACGCCAAAUCCUCAGCAAAUUCACCACAAGCCACAUAUCGACUCAUAUCCUGCCUGGGUCAGGCAUCAUGCAGUACAGCUAUGCAACUCGGUGCCAAACUGCAUUCCAUCCUUUCAAAAGUUUUCUUCUCCUCAAUGCUUGUUUCAUCAGAGCAGGAAGUAAAAGCAUCUUUUUAAAAAAAAACAAAACAUACUUCAAUCCAUUACGAACAAAAUAAUGUGUGUUGGUUGAUAUUGAUUUCACUGUGUAUGGAAUUCACUUUUCUGCCAUCCUGUCAACUCAGUACUGAGUGAGACAUCCUGGUUAGGCUGGUGGAACUCUUGCUUCUGAUUGUGAAGAUUGUGGGUUCAAGUCUCAAGUGCAGACUUGACUCCCACAUCACUACAUGACAAAACUUCCAAAAGUCCUUUAUGGUGUGUAAAACACUAUUUCAAAUGUCCUGAUAUUGUGAAGAAUGUUUUCUUUCUUUCUCACGCUGACAUUUUGGAGGUAUGCCUUGUUGGAAUAGGUAUUAAGUUAAACUAAUGGUAGGUUGGCUUGAUUGAAUGGAUUUUAGUGUGACUGUAAACUCAGCAGCCACUUUGUUUCAGGAAUGGAAUCUGAUGUCGUCUUCUGCUGCUCUAGUCCAUCCAUUUCAAGGUCUGAUGCAUUGUGUGUUCAGAGAUGUUGUUCUGCACACCACUGUUGUAACAGGUCUGAUGUCUUAUGGUCUUGUAGGAGAAUGCGGUUGAGAGGGAAUUGGAUCAGCCAUGAUGAAAUAGUGGAGCGAUCUCAAUGGGCAAAUACCUUAACUCUGCUCCUAUGUCUUAUGGUCUGGUUAGUUAAAUCAAUGUCACCUUUCUGACUGGUUCAACAUGACUAGCCAUCAUCUAAGCUGCAUGGGU